AUCGCUUCUCGGCCUUUUGGCUAAGAUCAAGUGUAGUAUCUGUUCUUAUCAGUUCUCGGUGGGAGUCGUGCGGUGUAUGGGGCACCACCGAGAUUAGUUUUUUUCUUUUAGCCCCAACACCCAGCACUUUUUACCCAAAAGCCUUUCAAAGGCUAUAGCACUUGUGGAGCCCUUUUUAGGGCUCUGCAC
This is a small nuclear RNA of 189 nucleotides. Its record names the gene U2. It matches the Rfam family "U2 spliceosomal RNA". From Rfam's summary of the family: U2 is a small nuclear RNA (snRNA) component of the spliceosome (involved in pre-mRNA splicing). Complementary binding between U2 snRNA (in an area lying towards the 5' end but 3' to hairpin I) and the branchpoint sequence (BPS) of the intron results the bulging out of an unpaired adenosine, on the BPS, which initiates a nucleophilic attack at the intronic 5' splice site, thus starting the first of two transesterification reactions that mediate splicing. The record is from Ensembl.